This 253-nucleotide ribosomal RNA is filed under the name uncultured bacterium. RNAcentral describes it as "partial 16S ribosomal RNA". It matches the Rfam family "Bacterial small subunit ribosomal RNA", at positions 524 to 776 of the family's 1533-position model. The record is from RNAcentral.
UACGUAGGUGGCAAGCGUUGUCCGGAUUUAUUGGGUUUAAAGGGUGCGUAGGCGGCUUUUUAAGUCAGUGGUGAAAGCCGUUCGCUUAACGAUCGAACUGCCAUUGAUACUGAGAGGCUUGAGUAUAGUUGAGGUAGGCGGAAUGUGACAAGUAGCGGUGAAAUGCAUAGAUAUGUCACAGAACACCGAUUGCGAAGGCAGCUCACUAAGCUAUGAUUGACGCUGAGGCUCGAAAGCGUGGGGAUCAAACAGG